UCAUCUCUUUCCUUCCUUCAUCUUGAGUUUUUUAAGAGUGUCUCAGAUCUAAAACUUCUCCUCCUACUUCUUAUAUUUGGAAGAGCCCAAAUCAAGAAGAAGGAGGCACCUAAUCAACCAUCAAAGAAGGAUCAGCCCAGUACUAGCAUACUAUGCUAAUUUUCUGAAGCAGGACUUCUGAUCGAGAUUCGUGGGCUCGUGUGGAUGACUCCUAA
Molecule: long non-coding RNA, 215 nt
Filed under: Elaeis guineensis (African oil palm)
Lineage: Eukaryota; Viridiplantae; Streptophyta; Magnoliopsida; Arecales; Arecaceae
Description: long non-coding RNA (EGUI_LNC082420)
Source: RNAcentral